RNAcentral lists this ribosomal RNA (490 nucleotides) under uncultured bacterium. RNAcentral's name for it is "partial 16S ribosomal RNA". It matches the Rfam family "Bacterial small subunit ribosomal RNA", at positions 30 to 507 of the family's 1533-position model. The record is from RNAcentral.
AUUGAACGCUGGCGGCAGGCCUAACACAUGCAAGUCGAACGGUAACAGGAAGCAGCUUGCUGCUUCGCUGACGAGUGGCGGACGGGUGAGUAAUGUCUGGGAAGCUGCCUGAUGGAGGGGGAUAACUACUGGAAACGGUAGCUAAUACCGCAUAAUGUCGCAAGACCAAAGAGGGGGACCUUCGGGCCUCUUGCCAUCGGAUGUGCCCAGAUGGGAUUAGCUUGUUGGUGGGGUAAUGGCUCACCAAGGCGACGAUCCCUAGCUGGUCUGAGAGGAUGACCAGCCACACUGGAACUGAGACACGGUCCAGACUCCUACGGGAGGCAGCAGUGGGGAAUAUUGCACAAUGGGCGCAAGCCUGAUGCAGCCAUGCCGCGUGUAUGAAGAAGGCCUUCGGGUUGUAAAGUACUUUCAGCGGGGAGGAAGGGAGUAAAGUUAAUACCUUUGCUAAUUGACGUUACCCGCAGAAGAAGCACCGGCUAACUCCGUG